Molecule: ribosomal RNA, 408 nt
Filed under: uncultured bacterium
Lineage: Bacteria
Description: bacterial SSU rRNA
Rfam family: Bacterial small subunit ribosomal RNA
Source: RNAcentral
AGCAGCCGCGGUAAUACGGAGGGGGUUAGCGUCGUUCGGAAUUACUGGGCGUAAAGCGCGCGUAGGCGGAUUAGUCAGUUAGAGGUGAAAUCCCGGGGCUCAACCCCGGAACUGCCUUUAAUACUGCUAGUCUUGAGUUCGAGAGAGGUGAGUGGAAUUCCGAGUGUAGAGGUGAAAUUCGUAGAUAUUCGGAGGAACACCAGUGGCGAAGGCGGCUCACUGGCUCGAUACUGACGCUGAGGUGCGAAAGUGUGGGGAGCAAACAGGAUUAGAUACCCUGGUAGUCCACACCGUAAACGAUGAAUGCCAGUCGUCGGGUAGCAUGCUAUUCGGUGACACACCUAACGGAUUAAGCAUUCCGCCUGGGGAGUACGGUCGCAAGAUUAAAACUCAAAUGAAUUGACGGGG